UACGUAGGUGACAAGCGUUGUCCGGAUUUACUGGGCGUAAAGAGCGCGCAGGCGGUCGAUCAAGUCGAGUGUGAAAGCCCCCGGCUCAACUGGGGAGGGUCAUUCGAAACUGGUCGACUCGAAGGCAGGAGAGGGUAGUGGAAUUCCCGGUGUAGUGGUGAAAUGCGUAGAUAUCGGGAAGAACACCAGCGGCGAAAGCGCGCUACUGGGCCAUUACUGACACUCAUGGACGAAAGCUAGGGGAGCGAAAGGG
This 253-nucleotide ribosomal RNA is filed under the name uncultured bacterium. RNAcentral's name for it is "partial 16S ribosomal RNA". It matches the Rfam family "Bacterial small subunit ribosomal RNA", at positions 524 to 776 of the family's 1533-position model. The record is from RNAcentral.